This 247-nucleotide ribosomal RNA is filed under the name uncultured soil bacterium. Its description in RNAcentral is "partial 16S ribosomal RNA". It matches the Rfam family "Bacterial small subunit ribosomal RNA", at positions 26 to 278 of the family's 1533-position model. The record is from RNAcentral.
AGGACGAACGCUGGCGGCGUGCUUAACACAUGCAAGUCGAGCGGUAAGGCUCCUUCGGGAGUACACGAGCGGCGAACGGGUGAGUAACACGUGAGCAAUCUGCCCUUCUCUUCGGAAUAACCAUUGGAAACGAUGGACUAAUGCCGAAUACGACCUCCUUUCGCAUGAUCGGAGGUGGAAAGCUCCGGCGAGAAGGAUGAGCUCGCGGCUAUCAGCUAGUUGGCGGGUAACGCCCACCAAGGCGACG